This is a small nucleolar RNA of Hevea brasiliensis (rubber tree), 106 nucleotides long. Lineage: Eukaryota; Viridiplantae; Streptophyta; Magnoliopsida; Malpighiales; Euphorbiaceae. The record is from RefSeq and is a predicted model, not a curated record.
AUUUGAUGAUGAGGACAGCUUGCACACAGUUUCUUAAAUCACUCCCAAUAUCAUACAAGCUCUCUUCAUUGUAUUGUCGGAUGUCUCAAAUUUUUUUUCUUAUAUU